GCGCGUGUGGCGCAAUGGAUAACGCGUCUGAUUACAGAUCAGAAGAUUCCUGGUUCGAAUCCUGGCACGCUCG
Molecule: non-coding RNA, 73 nt
Organism: Saccoglossus kowalevskii
Lineage: Eukaryota; Metazoa; Hemichordata; Enteropneusta; Harrimaniidae
Source: the annotation of a RefSeq genome assembly